UCUUAAAAUCAAUUCUAAAACUAACUGGUAACCAAUGAUGAGAAGCCAAACCAGGUCUGAUAUGAUCUUUUCCUCUAGUGCUUGUUCAAAGCUGAGCGGCUGUGUUUUGUACCAGCUGAAGGUGUAAGAUGUUUUUUUUGGCUCAAACCAGAAUACAAUGAAUUACAAUAGUCUAACCGAGAAGAAAUAAAAGCAUGAAUGACCUUCUCGAGCUCAGGUCAAGAGAGAAAACAACUGAUCUUUGAGAUGCUCCUUAAUUGAUAAAAACAUGAUCAAACAACAUUUGGAAUUUGCUUUUCAAGUGUAAGUUCACUGUCAAAUAUCACACCCAGGUUUCUGGCUGCAGGUUUGACAUUUGAAGACAGGGAUCCAAGGUGUUUCUGUAUGAUAGGGAUGGACUUUGGGGGACCGAAGAGAAUUAUUUCAGAUUUAUUUUCAUUUAGCUGGUUUUUAAUGGGACAUAGAUUUGUGUGUCAUCUGCAUCUGUCAACAAUGGUACUGGAUUUUGUGAUCUGUCCCAGUGGCAGCAUGUAUAUACAGAAUAACAAGGGGCCAAGGAUGGACCCUUGGGGAACACCACAGGUCAGAGGGGCCACAGAAGAGGAGGCAUUACCCAUGACCACUGAGAAACUCCUGUUUGAUAAAUAGGAUAGGAACCUUUUUAGAGCAGUGUCCCUGAUGCCAAUUCCCUGUUCAAGGCAGUCCAGUAGGAUGGAGUGAUCCACAGUGUCAAAUGCCGAGCUCAAAUCAAGAAGAAUUAAAUUUGAACAAUCACCAGCAUCAGCUGUGAGUAAAAGGUUCUUUGUCACUUUAAUAAGAGCAGAUUUGGUGCUAUGACGUGAACGGAAACCUGAUUUGUCAAAGAUAUCACAAGUAUCCAUCAAAGAAGUCAACUCUACGUAAACAGUCUUCUCUAAAACUUUUGAUAAAAAGGCAAGAGGGAACACAGCCAGUGGACAGAGCACUAUUUACAAUCAAUAAAAUAGUGGGCCCAACACUGUUAAAAACCUCUUAAAGAAAUCUGGCAGGCAUAGAAUCUGAAGGAUUCGAUGAGGGCUUUAAUUUGUCCAUUGUGUCCUUUUAGAUUGCACAGUGAAAUGACCUGAAAGUCAUUUUGCAGGUUUGCAGCGUGGCAAAAAAGGGGCACUGGUGACAAGACCAAUCCCGAGUUUUAUUUCAUUGAUUUUGGUUGUAAAGAAGGAAAUAAAAAUUGGUCAUUGGGGUGGCUUUAGUUAGUCGGAUAGGAGGAGGGUUAAUCACGGAUUCAGUGGUUUUGAAAAGAAUUCUGGGGUUAUGACGGUUUGUUGUAGAGAAAUAGGAGGACCUGGCUUCAUUUACUGAUUUCUGAUAAAUAGACAUUAGUUAUUUUAAACUUUGAUAUGAAACAUUAAGAUGGUCCAUUUACGCUCUGCUUGUCUGCAUUUCCUCUUUAUUUAUCCAUGGCGUGCUGUGAGAUGCUUUGACUUUCUGGAUUUUUACAGGUGCAAUGGAGCCAAGUACAGCUUUACAAGUGGCAUUGAAGUUGUUUAGUAAUUCUUCUGUAGACAUAUUGUUAUUGCUAUGUAUAGAUGUAGUGGUAAAGGCCUAAUGGAAUCUGUCAGCAGAAUAAGUAUUGAGAACACGAGAAGAGACAUAGGUUGCCUCUGUGGGAGCAGGGACUUAAAAAUACAGAGAGCAACACUAUCUAGACUAGAACCAGAGGACAGAACAAUGUCCAGGGUGUGUCCCUUUAGGUGGGUGGGACCCUCACCUGAAUAAGAUUAAAGGAAUUCACAAUGUCCAUAUAAACUCCAUAGUAAAAGAGGAACCAGAGGGGCAGCAAACAUGUAUGUUAAAAUCACCUGAAAUCAAGACUGUCAAAAUGAGGCAUAAUCAAAGCUGAAAGAUCAGAGAAUUCCUGAAUAAAACCAGAGGUAGAUUUUGGGGGUCUGUAGAUUAAAACACAAAGUAGCAGGUUCUUGCCAUUAAUCUUAAAACCAAGUGAUUCAAAUGAGAAGUUUCCAAAUGAGUACAGGGAAAAAUUUACAAUUCUUUCUGUGAAUCACUACCACUCCCAGUCCACCUCCCCGACCUGAAAGCCUAGGCUGCUGAAAAUAAUUAAAACCUGGAGGACAAGCUUCCUUCAGCGCAACACAGUCACCUGGACUUAACCACACCUCAGUAAGCAGAAGGAAAUCGAACUGCUUGGAAACAAUGAAAUCAUUGCAGAAAAAUGAUUUAUUUGCCAGUGAUCUAACAUUCAAUAGCCCAAACACUACAGGGAUGUGAGAUGGAGAUGAACUAGGACCAGCCAAGGAGGCAUGAGGAAUUUGUCAGUAUGAUUCAUCAUCCAGGGACCACGAAUGUCUGCACAAAAUUUCAUGACAAUCCAUCCAUUCUGUCUGGGCCAAAGUGGUGGACCGAUCAAUCGAACAAGGAGACACCUAGAGCAAUGCCUCUAGCAAGGCUAAAAAGGCCAAAGUGAUUUCCUUGGCUGGGCAUUGUAGUUUUUAGCAAACAUCACUCAAAAUAAAUAGUGUAUUUGUUGGACUGUUUAGUGGCGAAUUAAUACACAUUUGACAGUGUCCAUGUUCAUCAUAAUGAAGGAACAUGUCACCUAGUUCAACAGUGUGACUAACUGUGUUUUGGACAACAAUGGAGCUCUGUGGCACAGAGGAAUAAGAUAUAUCAGGUUUUGGUUACACAGACAAUACUUGUUAGUGGGAUCAAUUAAUUGUUGGUUUCGGACAAGUUAUGGGUUUUGUUAACAAUAAAAAUAAAAUAUGGAGUAUGACCAGACUGAUCCUUUAAGCCAAGAAAGCCAAUGACAAACCUGACAGACUUUGUCUAACUUGUCUAGCUAACCAGCUUGCUUGCCUCUAAUUUGAAAAUAUGACUUUAUUUCUGGAGUCAAUUACAGGCCAAUAUAACUGAAAGUGAGGGGCAAUUUUGGAUAAUCCUGCUGUACUCCCUCCCAGCUGCUUUAAAAGAAAACCCUCUUAAUUUAGCAGCAGAAGUUUUGCAGGCUGGUGUAGCUCUGUUCAGCCUCUACAGCUGUCACCGCAGGGAUCUAUUUGAUUUCUAUGAGCUCCGCCUCUCAGCAGCUUCCAGCUACACUAAUGACAUGACUUAGUGUCAUUGGCGAAGUAUUUGAUAGCCGAGGAUGAGACACUUAGAGUGGGGAAACUCCGAGCUUCAUUUAGCCAACAGUGUGCUCACUACAACAGUUGGUGUGGUUUUCAACACCCAGCUUAUAGACUCUGACACUUUUCAAAAAGCCUAAAACAGAGUGAUUGACAUGUGAAUGAAAAUAUACAACAGUGUCUUUAUUCUGUAAUUUCUCUAGCUAGAGAAAACAGAAAUGAUUAGUCCUUUUUUCACGCUGUUGAACAUUGUAAAGAAUGAUUCACACACACAAAAAAACCCACACAACGUCAGAAAUAUAUUACAAAUUGCUUUUCUAAAUUCUGUGCAUCAAAAAGACAUUUCUGCUUCAAAUCAGACCGGCAGCCAAUUUGGCCAUGAGGCUGGAAAGAAAAUAGAUGUUGGAAAUUGCACCCCAGCUGCUAUUUGUAAUAAUGCAUUUUUGAAAUCCAAGAGCAGAAAAUCGAGUCAGGAUUGUAGUGUGAGGGGGUGUUUGUAAUUGAUAUAAUGGAGCUAGGGGAAGAGCUUUGAAAUGAGAGCUUUAGUAAGGAGAGCAGAGAAAAGCCUUUGUCUAUAUGAGCAGAGGCAACACAAAGCACCACUGAUCUGAGUUACAGCAUUAUUUUGUAAGGAUUUAAGAGCCUAGAUUCUGUGACAAUAUUGGCCCCCGCUCCAUCAAAGAGUGCCCUCUAACUCAGAACAAACAGGCUCUGUGUUGUUCAGCAUCCGUGGUGGUUCACUUUUGGACAGCAUUAAUGAAUGUCUCCUUUUAUCAGAACAUCUUGGGAUUACCACCUUACCACCAACAACUAAAUCCUUCAGAUGAAGAGCCAUAUAUUAUACAGUCAGUGUGCUCUGUUCCCAGCUGAGUGAUGCUCUCAGAUCUCAAAAUGCUGUGUCAUACAACUAUAACUACAACUCGUAGUUCUCGCCGACCGAAGUUGCCGUGGGUGUUUUCUACUCGCUGGUUUAAAGGACAGUAAUGAGCCCAUUACGACUUAGCGCACCAGAAGACGCUGCACUUGAAAACUUUAUUGGAAGUGUUUUCAAAAAAUAUUUUCAUUUUGACAAGAGAGAAGGCUUCAGGGAUAAGGACUAACUGGUUAGUUUGGUAAAUGUGCGUCUGGUUAACUUCGCCACCUCCGAUAAAGAGCACAAAAGAGAUAUGAGCAAAAGAGAUGUGAACAACAAGUGGAUGAGACAGUCAAACGGGACUAGGCCACAUUAAAGCUAUGACCUAUGAUCAGGGGUCACAGGUUGAUACUGCUUCAUUAUUAGGGGUCAUAAGCCAACAAGGUUGCGAAGCACUGCAGGGGUUACAGGCCCAGACUGACUGGCCUGGCUAGCCGAUUGGCCCGGAGUAACGAGCAAAGGACAGUCAGUGUUACAUAAAAAUAUACAUGCUAGCAGAGUAUCACACCUCAGCACGUAUCACAACUACCGUUCCAGAGUUGAUUCUAUGUUUUAAAAAACGAAUAAAUGGCAUCAACACUUAGUCAUGCUAUAUAGGGAAGCAAGAGAUGCAUAUGGAAAUAAUGUUGAAAAUAACGACUUGUAUACUCUUUUCUGUCAGGUGGAAGUACCAAGUUUAACUUGUAAUUUAGUAAACUAAUUUAAUGGGAAAACAGCAAGUAGUGCCACCAGGCCCUACUAGAAAAAAACAAACAUCUUAAAUGCACUUACGAAUGAAUUGAUUAGCUUAUUGAAAUUAAGUGUAGGGAUGGAGGGAUCAAAGAAAGUCUGGAGAGAUAUUAAAAAAAGGGUCACUCAUGAGGGGAUCAAACGACGGUCGAUUGGGGAUUGAGAUCAGACGAAAGUCAAGUCGAGGAACCGAGGGGGUUGACGCUCAGGGUGGGUGCAACAUUUUGCUGAUUAGGCAUGCCAUGGCGACAUCUUUCCCCCCCUGAGGUUCUGUACUGAGAGAGAGGGAAGAAAAAGGGAAAAUGGUUAAAGAGGGAAUGAUGUGGGAAGACAAUCAGGAGAAAAAUGGGGUUAGUUAUAUACUGCUGGUUGGGACAGGAAAUUAAACAUGAUUCUUAGUUUUUGUUCCUGAACUUAGUUUAUAAUCAUUUUCUUUGUAUUUUUCUUGUGUAGUUUUAACAGCUAAGACACAGAAUCCAGUCUCUAAGAAUAAUGAGGUAUUGACACCGCCAUGUUUUAUUUCCUCAGUUAGACAGUGCUUUAGAUAACAAACACCUCAGAGCUGCCAUCUAGUCUAACUUAAAGCCCCAAAUCUGUAAUUGAAGUACGGUGCCACCUGUGACACAGUCUCCUCACUCCUGGCUUUGUUUGGGUAUCAGUCUGUUAGUCUAAAGACAUUUUUUAAGGCUCAAAUUGAUCACUUGAGCUUUGAGCUUUGAGCAAACAACAGCAGCAUAAAACCGUGUUAUCCUCAGCACUGGCCAUAGCACAAAAAUCUGGGCCCUGUACAUAUGCAGCCUCUGUGGGCCCCCCUCCCUUUUUAAUAAAUCCAUUAUCACACCUGUACAAAUAAUUGAAUUAACAAGUAAACACAUGCGUCUGUAGCGGUAAUUUUUCUCAAUAUACUGUAAUUACUGUGGGAAGCUUUCAUUAUAAGGUUUUACAACAUUAUACAACAGUAUUUCUGUCACAGUUUUUAGGUCUACAUUAUAUACAUACAAAGCCAUCUUACUCUACACUGAGAGGAUUACUGUAUUACUAUAUUUCAUACUACAAGAAAACUGAAUAUGAAGUGCUACCCCUGUCUGUUGCAACAUAAAAGUAGCAUAAUAAAACUUUAGAAACCUAAAGGCCCAGUCCAUAUA
Molecule: long non-coding RNA, 5909 nt
Organism: Siniperca chuatsi (mandarin fish)
Lineage: Eukaryota; Metazoa; Chordata; Actinopteri; Centrarchiformes; Sinipercidae
Exons: 2
Source: RefSeq, a predicted model, not a curated record